UCUUCUGCUUUUUCUUUUGAUAGUGUUUCAGAGAUGAUAACUGCCAUGUUGGCAUCAGUGAGCUAUGAAGCUGUAUAUAUCUAAGCUUUUAUUUGACAAAAAAGAAAAGCCUGGACAGUGAUGAUUUUUUUUUUUUUUUUUUUUUUUUUCAGAAACUCUUCUGAAAAGUUGAACUUUUAAUUCUUUGGCAGGCAACCAAGAUGUUUAUUGGAAGAAAACUUCUGUAAACUUUGCAGAUCUUUUCCCCAAUGUUUUCUUUGAAUGCCUGAUUAAUUUAUACUAUGUUGUUAACAUUGGAAUCUCAAUUUCAAAAGAGAAGAGCAUAGGAACCAGAAGUGUAAAAUAUCUGUAUUGCAUAGCCAUAUCUGUAUUGCAUAGGUUGCCAGAAAAAAGGAAUGUGCAAUGGAGAUUAUUAAUAUGGAAAUAUCCUAAGAUACGGCAUGCCAUUUGAGAAACUGAAUGAAAUACAUUUUGGCAUGGAAGAUAAUUAAUUGUACCAUGAAUUACUGAGGACAGGUAAACUGAAAAAUCACUUUCCUUCCUUUUCACAUUCAUUAAUGUUGCAUGUCUGCUUAAGUCUGCUGCUACCUUUUUUCCAAACUUCAUUCUUGGCUGCUUCAUCUGUACCUCUUUAUAUAAACACAUAUGACUGUAUUAACAAACAAACAAACAUUUAAAAGGGUGAUUGGUGAUCAGUUUCUUGUACAGAUCUCAAACUGACUGUUAAAUUGAUAACUGUAGGCUCUCCAUUGGUAGCAGAAGUAAACUACAGGGAAGAAUUUGUUUUGGUAUCUAUGUCAAUCUUGCAGUCACCUUUGUUUGUGGUUAAAGCAUAUGCUAGGUCUGGCUAUCAGUUCAGCAAUAUUGAAGAAAUUAUUUGGAAAACUUUCAUGAUAUCUUCUUUAUGACUUUCGCAUCUUCAUAAAGCAAUUAAAUGAAACCAAGGAUGGAUGCUGUUUAACUCUUAGCUAGAAAGGGAAAAGCUUUAGCGACAGAGAAUGAAUUUUAAAAUGUUACAGCUUCCUUUCUUGUUAUUAUGUUGAUAUCAGAAAUAUAUUUCUAAACAUAGUAUAUGAGGAUUGUAGUAGCUCAGGUGUCUCUGUAGCAGAAAGGGCAUGGCAGCAAAGUUUCUGAAUGUAUUCUGAUAAUUAUGUGAACUAGCUGAAUCAUAGCAAACAACAUUAUGCAUAGUCAAAUUUUGUAAUAGAUUGUAAUCUAUCUGCAAUAGAUUUUAUAUUCUAUUUAGUAAAGAGUUAUUUAAUAAAACAUCUAGAAAACAAGUAUUGAGUAAUAUU
This 1295-nucleotide long non-coding RNA is filed under the name Anas platyrhynchos platyrhynchos (common mallard). RNAcentral describes it as "lncRNA (ENSAPLG00000029202.1)". The record is from RNAcentral. Lineage: Eukaryota; Metazoa; Chordata; Aves; Anseriformes; Anatidae.